ACGGGUGAGUAAUACAUCGGAAUGUACCUUGUAGUGGGGGAUAGCUCGGCGAAAGCCGGAUUAAUACCGCAUACGCUCUGAGGAGGAAAGCGGGGGACCUUCGGGCCUCGCGCUACAAGAGCAGCCGAUGUCAGAUUAGCUAGUUGGUGGGGUAAAAGCUCACCAAGGCGACGAUCUGUAGCUGGUCUGAGAGGACGACCAGCCACACUGGGACUGAGACACGGCCCAGACUCCUACGGGAGGCAGCAGUGGGGAAUUUUGGACAAUGGGCGAAAGCCUGAUCCAGCAAUGCCGCGUGUGUGAAGAAGGCCUUCGGGUUGUAAAGCACUUUUGUCCGGAAAGAAAUCCUCUGGGUUAAUACCUCGGGGGGAUGACGGUACCGGAAGAAUAAGCACCGGCUAACUACGUGCCAGCAGCCGCGGUAAUACGUAGGGUGCAAGCGUUAAUCGGAAUUACUGGGCGUAAAGCGUGCGCAGGCGGUUUUGUAAGACGGAUGUGAAAUCCCCGGGCUUAACCUGGGAACUGCAUUCGUGACUGCAAGGCUAGAGUAUGGCAGAGGGGGGUAGAAUUCCACGUGUAGC
This 581-nucleotide ribosomal RNA is filed under the name uncultured Pandoraea sp. Its description in RNAcentral is "bacterial SSU rRNA". It matches the Rfam family "Bacterial small subunit ribosomal RNA", at positions 102 to 679 of the family's 1533-position model. Lineage: Bacteria; Pseudomonadati; Pseudomonadota; Betaproteobacteria; Burkholderiales; Burkholderiaceae. The record is from RNAcentral.